This 67-nucleotide transfer RNA is filed under the name Prionailurus bengalensis (leopard cat). Its description in RNAcentral is "tRNA-Tyr". It matches the Rfam family "tRNA". Rfam says of the family: Transfer RNA (tRNA) molecules are approximately 80 nucleotides in length. Their secondary structure includes four short double-helical elements and three loops (D, anti-codon, and T loops). The record is from RNAcentral. RNAcentral also lists the same sequence under 1 other name. Lineage: Eukaryota; Metazoa; Chordata; Mammalia; Carnivora; Felidae.
GGUAAAAUGGCCGAGUAAGCAUUAGACUGUAAAUCUAAAGACAGAGGUUCAAGCCCUCUUUUUACCA